UCCUCCGCUUAUUGAUAUGCUUAAGUUCAGCGGGUAUCCCUACCUGAUCCGAGGUCAACCUGAGAAAAAUAAGGUUGGAGACGCCGGCUGGCGCCCGGCCGGCCCUAAUCGAGCGGGUGACAAAGCCCCAUACGCUCGAGGACCGGACACGGUGCCGCCGCUGCCUUUCGGGCCCGUCCCCCGGGGGGGACGACGACCCAACACACAAGCCGGGCUUGAGGGCAGCAAUGACGCUCGGACAGGCAUGCCCCCCGGAAUGCCAGGGGGCGCAAUGUGCGUUCAAAGACUCGAUGAUUCACUGAAUUCUGCAAUUCACAUUACUUAUCGCAGUUCGCUGCGUUCUUCAUCGAUGCCGGAACCAAGAGAUCCAUUGUUGAAAGUUUUGACUGAUUUGUAUUCAGGCUCAGACUGCAUCACUCUCAGGCAUGAAGUUCAGUGGUCCCCGGCGGCUCGCCCCUGGGGGGCUCCCCGCCGAAGCAACAGUGUUAGGUAGUCGCGGGUGGGAGGUUGGGCGCCCGGAGGCAGCCCGCACUCGGUAAUGAUCCUUCCGCAAGGUUCACCUACGGA
Molecule: unclassified non-coding RNA, 567 nt
Filed under: Aspergillus sp. FLN12a
Lineage: Eukaryota; Fungi; Ascomycota; Eurotiomycetes; Eurotiales; Aspergillaceae
Description: Emericella sp. FLN12a sequence contains 18S rRNA gene, ITS1, 5.8S rRNA gene, ITS2 and 28S rRNA gene
Source: RNAcentral